GGGCCCGCACAAGCGGUGGAGUAUGUGGUUUAAUUCGAAGCAACGCGCAGAACCUUACCAACCCUUGACAUCCUGUGCUAACUCCAGAGAUGGAGUGUCCACUUCGGUGGCGCAGUGACAGGUGCUGCAUGGCUGUCGUCAGCUCGUGUCGUGAGAUGUUCGGUUAAGUCCGGCAACGAGCGCAACCCUCAUCCUUAGUUGCCAGCAGUUCGGCUGGGCACUCUAAGGAAACUGCCCGUGAUAAGCGGAGGAAGGUGAGGAUGACGUCAAGUCUUCAUGGCCCUUACGGGUUGGGCUACACACGUGCUACAAUGGCAACUACAGUGGGUUAAUCCCCAAAAGUUGUCUCAGUUCGGAUUGGGGUCUGCAACUCGACCCAUGAAGUCGGAAUCGCUAGUAAUCGCGGAAC
RNAcentral lists this ribosomal RNA (409 nucleotides) under uncultured bacterium. RNAcentral's name for it is "bacterial SSU rRNA". It matches the Rfam family "Bacterial small subunit ribosomal RNA", at positions 917 to 1350 of the family's 1533-position model. The record is from RNAcentral.